Molecule: ribosomal RNA, 491 nt
Filed under: uncultured bacterium
Lineage: Bacteria
Description: partial 16S ribosomal RNA
Rfam family: Bacterial small subunit ribosomal RNA
Source: RNAcentral
AGUGAACGCUGGCGGUAGGCCUAACACAUGCAAGUCGAACGGGAGCACAGUAAGAGCUUGCUCUUACGGGUGGCGAGUGGCGGACGGGUGAGGAAUAAAUCGGAAUCUACUUUGUCGUGGGUGAUAACGUAGGGAAACUUACGCUAAUACCGCAUACGACCUACGGGUGAAAGCAGGGGAUCUUCGGACCUUGCGCGAUUGAAUGAGCCGAUGUUGGAUUAGCUAGUUGGCUGGGUAAAGGGGCACCAAGGCGACGAUCCGUAGCUGGACUGAGAGGAUGAUCCGCAACUCGUGAGCUGGGACACGCUCCAACACCCUGAGGGAGGCAGCAGUGGGGAAUCUUGGACAAUGGGCGCAAGCCUAAUCCAGCCAUACGGCGUGGGUGAAGAAGGCCUUCGGGUUGUAAAGCCCUUUUGUUGGGAAAGAAAAGCAGCAGGUUACUACCCCGCUGUUCUGACGGUACCCAAAGAAUAAGCACCGGCUAACUUCGU